UGGCAUAUCCAAAAGCGGAGGAAAAGAAACCAACAGGGAUUGCCUCAGUAACGGCGAGUGAAGCGGCAAAAGCUCAAAUUUGAAACCCUCGGGAUUGUAAUUUGAAGAUUUGGCAUUGGAGAAAGCUAACCCAAGUUGCUUGGAAUAGUACGUCAUAGAGGGUGACAACCCCGUCUGGCUAACCGUUCUCCAUGUAUUGCCUUAUCAAAGAGUCGAGUUGUUUGGGAAUGCAGCUCAAAGUGGGUGGUAAACUCCAUCUAAAGCUAAAUACUGGUGAGAGACCGAUAGCGAACAAGUACUGUGAAGGAAAGGUGAAAAGAACUUUGAAAAGAGAGUGAAAUAGUAUGUGAAAUUGUUGAUAGGGAAGGAAAUGAGUGGAGAGUGGCCGAGGUUUCAGCCGCCCCUCGUGGGCGGUGUACUGCCGACGCCGAGUCAUCGAUAGCGAGACGAGGGUUACAAAUGGGAGCGCCUUCGGGCGUUCUCCCCUAACCCUCCACACUGCCACCGACGACAUAAUCCACCCAUUUCACCCGUCUUGGA
This 540-nucleotide ribosomal RNA is filed under the name Yarrowia lipolytica. RNAcentral describes it as "eukaryotic LSU rRNA". It matches the Rfam family "Eukaryotic large subunit ribosomal RNA", at positions 36 to 658 of the family's 3401-position model. The record is from RNAcentral. Lineage: Eukaryota; Fungi; Ascomycota; Dipodascomycetes; Dipodascales.